Long non-coding RNA from Vespula vulgaris, 1136 nucleotides. RefSeq lists it as uncharacterized. The record is from RefSeq and is a predicted model, not a curated record. The transcript has 3 exons. Lineage: Eukaryota; Metazoa; Arthropoda; Insecta; Hymenoptera; Vespidae.
UACACGGCUUCGAGAGACGACAACAAAGUCGGGCCUUUGACCAACCUUUAUAGUUCCUGGUUCAGUUGUGCUUUGGACUUCGACGAGUGAACUUAGAAAUUUUUGCACCUUUGCACUGAAAAUCUAUCUCCACGAGUGGACUUAGAAAUUUUCGCACGAUGCCGAAUUCGAGCGAGUAUUAACGAAGACUUAAAAACCUCGUUGCAAUCGCGAGCGUUGCAAUGAUGUAAUCGAGUAUUGGUAUCGCUAAAAUAAAUUUAUCGCGAAGUAGAAGCAGUGUUUGUUCGUUCGCGUUUCGCGAUUUAAACCAUAAGUGUUUUUGCAUAGACUGCGCGCAAUGCAGUCUUUAGAGUCAGUGUUUGUCCGCGUAGUUUUUUGAUUUUUUAACAGUCGCACAGACUGUACUUGUAAAAUAUAGUAGAGUUGCGUUAAGUAAAUUCAGUGACCGUUCGUUAAUGAGUAACUAUCGCGAAUUAGAGUCAGUGCAUCACCGAAGAGGAUCUCGACCAACGUCGAUGUCGACCUACCUCAUGUUCAACCAACUACAAAUCGUCCACCCUCAAUUUCGACCUAAAUCGCGGUCCAGUGUUUUGGAGCCGUCGCAGAACUUCUUAAGUAGUCAGAUCAUCGAGGAAUGGACCAUCGAGGGAUGGAUCAUCGAGGGAUUGAUCAUCGAGGGAACGGUCGUGAUUUUUAUUUCUUUCAUUAUAAUACAUUUCUUUUUAUUCUACACAUUUCUACUUAUUAUAAGCAUUUCUAUAUAUGUAUAAGCAAGCUUAUAUUUAUUAUAUGCAUAUUUAUUAUAUUUAUUACAUGCAUUUCUAUCGAUUACACGUAUUUCUAUUUAUUGAAACGCAUAGCUACGUAAUAGUUUGAACGGUUACCCGAGAUUUAUUACUCUAUUUUCUCUCGACUUCGGUACUCUGAUUUUUCUCGGGUGAAGCGAUCCUCAAGAUAUUCGUCCGUCGUUCCAAAUUCUAUCUUUCUCUCGCACUCUCGCACACAUUCCCGGUAUCUCUUUUCUUUUCCUCUUCUUCUUUUUCUUCUUCCCAUCUGCUUUUACUCUUUCUCUUUUUCUGUUUCUAAAUCAUCGAGGGAACGAUCAUCGUGGGAUGAUUACACGGAAGUUAACGGAA